Molecule: long non-coding RNA, 2453 nt
Filed under: Equus asinus (donkey)
Lineage: Eukaryota; Metazoa; Chordata; Mammalia; Perissodactyla; Equidae
Description: lncRNA (ENSEASG00005032035.1)
Source: RNAcentral
GAACAUUCUACAAAAACAGCUGACCUAUACUCACCAAAAUGCCAAGGUCAUGACAGGCAAGCAAAGAUUGAAGAAAGCUUCCAGAUUAAAGAAGACUGAGGAAACUCAACAGCCAAAUGCUCUCAGCCUCCUGUGUGCAAGCAGAGUUGCUAUGGUGCCAUCGCUUAUACUUGCAUCUGACACUUCUACGUUAGAGACCACCAAUCAAAAUCCUCAGUGGGCUUACGAGCAGAAUCCAGACCCAUCUCAGCCCCCAUCCCCUCCCACCUACCAUCUGGAUCUCCCUGCAGUGAUGGGAGCAGCAGGAGAAAGCAGAAAGAAACAUCUCCCCGCCCCCACCCCCUCCACCAUUAACUGCUGCAACCACCAGAAGCAGGAUCUAGAAAAAGAAGCCCCGAAGUCAUGAUUUUCCUCCAUUUUCCGCACCUUGCUGACCUGACAAGAACUUUAAGAGAUCCUGGAAGCCAGCUGCCAUGCUGUGAACUGCUCUAUGGAGAGCCUCAUGUGGAAAGGAACUGAUGUCUCCAGCCAACAGCCACAUGAAUGAAUUUAGAAGUGGAUCUUCCAUCAUUUGAGACUUGAGAUGACAGCAGUCCCAGACAAGCCCUUAACUGCAGACUUGUGAGAGGCCCUGAGCCAGAGAGUAGCACAAGUAUCAGUUUUUCACUCAGUGGAGACAGCCGUCCACAAUUGCAGUUUCACCUCCAGUUUGACUGAGCAUUUCACCCAGCUUUGAUCAUCUGCGGUCAGGAAGGAAUUCGCUUCUCCUUUGGAUCUCUCCCGGAGGAGAGAAAACAAUAAACUUCCCACCAGCUUUCAAGCCAAGGAUUUCUCAUUAGCCACAGCUUCAGGCCGUUCGUUCUUGGCCCACACCCAGGAUGCCUCUGGAUACAUCAGGCUAAAGCCUUGUUCUCUCUUCACCUCCAAGAUUGCUGGAUCACUGGGCUGUGAGCUGCUCUGAUAUUCUGUCCAUGUUCUUGGAACAUCAUAAUAGUGCCUCUUCACUGAAGAGUCAGAAUAAGACGAAGAGAGAAAAAAAGCACUUACAACUUAAAAUAUAGAAGCCAUUUUAAUUGUUCUUAAACUCAGUGAAUAGUAGUAGUUAUUUCAAUGAGCUUAGGGUUCUUAUCUCUCCUGGACCGUUAGCAGAAAAUUGAUGUCUUCAAAAACAUUGAAGCCGUCAUAUGCAAGAUUCAGAGAAAACAAAACCAAACCAACACAGUUGAAUCGAUUCAAAGCAAAUUAACUCCUAAUUAACCCAGACAAACGAAAGGUUUUCUACCUUUGGUAGAAAAGAACUAAAUGAGGCCCCAUCACUGUAACAGGUUUCCUGGCAUCAGAGAAGGAAGUAGGACGGAAAGCUGAGAAAUCCAGCUCUGACUUGAAGUGAGAAGUUCAAAGUCAGCCUGAGCUUGCACAGAAGUAUAUGCCAUAGCUUCAGCUAAAAUCACAGAGACUUCUCUUCCUGAAGAGUCUAAGCCAUUCAACAAAACACAUACCAGGACGGUGAACUCACCUAAAUAGGAAGACCUUGGAACAAGCUCCUCAGCUAGUAGGAUUCAUCGCCUGAUUGGACCCAAAGCUGUUCCACAAUUUGGAUUGAAAUAAGCAAUUUUUAACCAGUAGGUCAUUAAUGUGGUUACAGGGUUGACUGAAUUGACCUACCAAUUCAACCAAGUAGGUUAGUAGGAAAUUAGUCUAAAUAUUAAAAAAUUAAUUGUGAAGAAGCAUUUUCCUUACUGAUUGCAUAAACCUCCUCAUUAACUCAUUGUCUUCACCAAUUGUGAUUGUAUACUUUCAAGUGUUUCAUUCAUGCAUUAUUCUACUGUUAUAAUAACAAUAAUACAGUUAACUAAUUAACAGAUUGGAUUGGGGAGACAAAAGAAUGGAAGGAGGGUGAGAGAUAAGGGUUGGCAAUUCAGUUUUAACAUUAAUUACUACUUAGCAUUUGAGAUAUCAUAAAUCUACAACUAAUUCAUAUUUAUGAGUUACAAAGUGUAUUUGCUUUAGCAGGAAGGCAAAACCAAAUGUCUCUAAGAUAUGCUGAAUUGUUCUGUCACUUAUCUGUUUUGUUGAAAUCAUUAAUAUGCUUUGAAGCCAAAUGUAGCAGAUGUAUAAACUCUCAGAUAUUUCUCAUUCUUCCUAAUAUUAGCUCUUGAUACAUCACUGAUUUGCAAAAUGAAUAUUCAUUUCUAAUACUGUAAACUUAUCAGUGUCAUGAUCCCAUUCCUUCACACUCAGAUAUUUAAAAUGUCUGAAGAAGUUCAAGAGAUUAUUUAGACCAACUCCUCAUGGCAUAGAUGGCGAACAUGAGGUUUUAAGAGGUUUUGAGAGGCACUAAAUUCCUUGUCCAAGAUAAUGGACGUUAUUGUGGCAGAUGAUUCUAGAACUCUCAGCUGCUGAGAGAGUAACUAUUAGUCCUGAGGGCAUGCCAUAACUUAAUGCCUGAGGCU